CCUACGGGGGGCUGCAGUGGGGAAUUUUGGACAAUGGGCGCAAGCCUGAUCCAGCCAUGCCGCGUGCGGGAAGAAGGCCUUCGGGUUGUAAACCGCUUUUGUCAGGGAAGAAAAGGUUCGAGCUAAUACCUCGGACUAAUGACGGUACCUGAAGAAUAAGCACCGGCUAACUACGUGCCAGCAGCCGCGGUAAUACGUAGGGUGCAAUCGUUAAUCGGAAUUACUGGGGGGAAAACGUGCGCAGGCGGUGAAAUCCCCGGGCUCAACCGUGGAACUGCAUUUGUGACUGCACGACUUGAGUACGGUAGAGGGGGAUGGAAUUCCGCGUGUAGCAGUGAAAUGCGUAGAUAUGCGGAGGAACACCGAUGGCGAAGGCAAUCCCCUGGACCUGUACUGACGCUCAGGCACGAAAGCGUGGGGAGCAAACAGGAUUAGAUACCCCGGUAGUC
This 449-nucleotide ribosomal RNA is filed under the name uncultured bacterium. RNAcentral's name for it is "partial 16S ribosomal RNA". It matches the Rfam family "Bacterial small subunit ribosomal RNA", at positions 338 to 795 of the family's 1533-position model. The record is from RNAcentral.